GAUGAACGCUAGCGACAGGCCUAACACAUGCAAGUCGAGGGGCAGCACAAGGAGCAAUCUGAGGUGGCGACCGGCGCACGGGUGAGUAACACGUAUGCAACCUGCCUGUAAGCGGGGGAUAACCCGUUGAAAGACGGACUAAUACCGCAUAAUACUGGAGAUCUGCAUGGAUAUUCAGUUAAACAUUUAUGGCUUACAGAUGGGCAUGCGCAUGAUUAGAUAGUUGGAGAGGUAACGGCUCCCCAAGUCAACGAUCAUUAGGGGUUCUGAGAGGAAGGUCCCCCACACUGGGACUGAGACACGGCCCAGACUCCUACGGG
RNAcentral lists this ribosomal RNA (320 nucleotides) under uncultured bacterium. RNAcentral's name for it is "bacterial SSU rRNA". It matches the Rfam family "Bacterial small subunit ribosomal RNA", at positions 28 to 345 of the family's 1533-position model. The record is from RNAcentral.